Molecule: long non-coding RNA, 2785 nt
Organism: Gadus morhua (Atlantic cod)
Lineage: Eukaryota; Metazoa; Chordata; Actinopteri; Gadiformes; Gadidae
Exons: 2
Source: RefSeq, a predicted model, not a curated record
UCUCUCUCUCUCUCUCUCUCUCUCUCUCUCUCUCUCUCUCUCUUUCUCUCUUUCUCUCUUUCUCUGUUUCGUUCUGUCUUAACAGCCCGCUCUCUUUCUCUCUCUCUUUUUCUGUAUCUGUAGAGGGUUUUCCCUUUUUUGCUCCCAUCCUAUCAUUAGAUGUGUUGGUUGAGAUCUUUGCUAUUUUUACACAUUCAUCUUUGACAACUCUUAAGAAAGCACAUGCACUGGUUAAGAAACCGAAAACAUUCAAAAUGCACUGACUGCGUCUUACCCUAUAGAAUCAAAACUCUGAACCGCCCCUUAAUUCUGCUAACUAUUCUUCGCUAACCUCCCUUGCGCCCUCAGAGGGUGCAGGGCACUACAUUACCGCAGCUUAUCUAGUCACUAGCCAACUACCAGUCAGCUCAGUAGCAGGGAAGCAACUACUUCUUCGUCUUCUUCUUCUUCUUCUUCUUCCUCUUCACGCACUUCUUAAACUUCAGCUCUCAUCCGCUUGUCCACCCACCAACCCGGCCUUCCAUCUUUUGUCAUCGCUUUGGGGUGAUUUCCCAGCUGACUCUGUUUGUCAUGGCAACCAGCGUCGUGGCGACUGGCCCUGCCUGCAGCUCCUACUUCCUGUGUGUGUGUGUGUGUGUGUGCUUGUGCCUGCCUUCUCAAGUGAGACUGCGUGGGUUUGUGUGUGUGUGUGUGUGUGCGCAUGUUGGGCGCAUGCGCUGUGUGCUUGCAGACAGGGGGACUCUGUGUGUGAGCCUGUCAGCCUGGAUUAGACUCAAACCACAAUGCAGCGAUGCACUUCAACCCCCCCCCCCCCCCCUUUCCCCCCCCCCGCCACACGCACACACACACGUACACACACGUACAUGCUUCAGCUCUGCCUCUCCUUUACUCUUAGUUUCACUCUGGUUCUCACUGCCUCACUUGGUCUCUCUCUCUUUCCCUCUCUCGCUCUCUCCCUUGCUCUGUAGCUCACUAUGUCUCCCAUCCUUGCUCUCACGUUCUCUACCCGUCCUUCUGCGGGUGAGGUUGAGAUAAAGCACAGGAGGUAGAUGGAGGGCUGACGGACAGAGGACAAACAGAUCCACGGGGCAGAGCUCCAUGUAGUUGCGGUAUAUCUGUGAGAGGCGUGUUCCUGUUCAUACCCAAGCCUCCAGAUACAAGCAACUUAGCCGUAGCGAUCCAACAUGGCGGAGCGACUCGUUGGGAGAAGAGUGCAGCGUGCGCCCGAGUGGGGGAGGGCUGGGCUAUAAAUCUGGCCUAUGAUCCCCUGAACACUGCUAUUACAUAACUCAGUGUGUGUGAGUGUGUGUGUGUGUGUGUGUGUGUGUGUGUGUGUGUGUGUGUGUGUGUGUGUGUGUGUGUGUGUGUGUGUGUGUGUGUGUGUGUGUGUGUGUGUGUGUGUGUGUGUGUGUGUGUGUUUGUGUGUGUGUGUGUGUGUGUAAGGGGUGUCUGAGUGUGUGUGUGUAUGUUUGUUUGUGUGUGUGUGUGUUGCUGAAUCCAUCACAGUGUUGUGAGCCAGGUGGACAAGAGCUGACGGCAACCAUAUAAUGUUCACAGAGGAUUACUUAUUAUUAUUAUUAUCAUUAUUAUUAUUAUAUUAUUAUUAAUAUUGUUUCCUUUUGAUAUUUUCACCCUUCUUGGAGUGAACCUUUGGAGUGAUUUGCUUUUUGUUUUGUUAAUGAAGUUAUUUAUUCUGUGCUCCUUUUUUUGUUAUUUUGUUUCCCUUCCUGUGUAAGAUAUUUAUUUUCUGGUGUGAAGUGAACCAUUUGAAUUGUAAUCGUGUGUACAGAAUGUGUGGCGAGAAUGUACUCUGCCCCAGAUAGGAUUGUUAAUCACUUAUGGAUUUUAUCGGUGGAAGCCAUUAUAUACGAAAUAUAUCUGUCUGUUUUUUUUUCACACUUCCUUCCCUGUUUUAUUUGUCAUGUGGGGUUGGGCGCUGCACAAGCGAUGAAGGUCUGCCUCUUAAUUCCUUUCAUUUCCUUUUUCUUUUGUUUUUUAAAGAAUAAUUGUAACAGUUUGUGGGUCCGGGGAACAGUCGAUGCAGCUCAAUUACUCCCAAACUGUCCUCUGCAUUCAGAUGUCAACACUCCAAAGCCUGUCACAGACUCAUGCCAAAAGUAAUGUACAUAGUCUACGCCUAGCGGGGAGCUCCCGGUAAUGUAUAUAGCACGCCUGGAGAGCCCCCCUCAUUUCAUCAGUGUUCCUUCUACAUGUCCUUUCUUUGUUGUCUGUUAGUUUUUGUCACCCAAAUCUAUUUUUACCGCUGUCUUGUACACUCUGAAGUGAACCUACAAGACCCUUUUAGGGUCAGAUGUGUUGGGGCUGGUGAGUGGGUGGGGUUGGGUGGGGUGGGGUGGGGUGGGGUAGGGACCGCUAGGAACAUUGUGACUGGCUAUGCAGUCACAAUGUUCUCCCUGCUGUCCAACAUUCGAAGGCUGUAUUUUUCACAGACCCUAGUGCUGUGCCUUUUUCUAUGCAAUAUAAACAAGGACAACAAACACAAAUCGUCUGACGUGGAGAGAGCAACAUUAUCAGAUGAUCACUGUAUUGGGAUCCAAAAUGUGGACUAGAUAAGACAUGCGUGUGUGUGUUUGUUUGUAUGUCUGGAUCUGAGUGUGUGUUGGUGUGUCUGUCUGAAAUUGUGUGUGUGUGUGGGUGGGUCCGAAUGUGUGUGUAUGUGUAUGUGGGAUAAAAUGGACGGGGUCUAUGAAUUUGAAGCAGUCUUACUUUUGUAGUUUUAUAUAUAUAUAUACAUAUAUAUAUACAUACAAUAAAACUCUUAAAA